RNAcentral lists this ribosomal RNA (253 nucleotides) under uncultured bacterium. RNAcentral describes it as "partial 16S ribosomal RNA". It matches the Rfam family "Bacterial small subunit ribosomal RNA", at positions 524 to 776 of the family's 1533-position model. The record is from RNAcentral.
UACGUAGGGCGCAAGCGUUGUCCGGAAUUAUUGGGCGUAAAGAGCUCGUAGGCGGUUUGUCGCGUCUGCUGUGAAAACCUAAGGCUCAACCUUGGGCUUGCAGUGGGUACGGGCAGACUAGAGUGCGGUAGGGGUGACUGGAAUUCCUGGUGUAGCGGUGGAAUGCGCAGAUAUCAGGAGGAACACCGAUGGCGAAGGCGGAUCUCUGGGCCAUUACUGACGCUGAGGAGCGAAAGCGUGGGGAGCGAACAGG